Molecule: ribosomal RNA, 170 nt
Filed under: Escherichia coli
Lineage: Bacteria; Pseudomonadati; Pseudomonadota; Gammaproteobacteria; Enterobacterales; Enterobacteriaceae
Also listed under: 1 other name
Description: partial 23S ribosomal RNA
Rfam family: Bacterial large subunit ribosomal RNA
Source: RNAcentral
GAAAGCAUCUAAGCACGAAACUUGCCCCGAGAUGAGUUCUCCCUGACUCCUUGAGAGUCCUGAAGGAACGUUGAAGACGACGACGUUGAUAGGCCGGGUGUGUAAGCGCAGCGAUGCGUUGAGCUAACCGGUACUAAUGAACCGUGAGGCUUAACCUUACAACGCCGAAG